AGCUCGACCGGGUCGACGCCGCGGGUAACCACCAAAUAGUCCCGCAUGACGAUGGAGUGACGCGCCUC
Molecule: small RNA, 68 nt
Filed under: Gordonia effusa NBRC 100432
Lineage: Bacteria; Bacillati; Actinomycetota; Actinomycetes; Mycobacteriales; Gordoniaceae
Description: ASdes TB sRNA
Rfam family: ASdes TB sRNA
Source: Rfam by way of RNAcentral